This 68-nucleotide transfer RNA is filed under the name Ailuropoda melanoleuca (giant panda). It matches the Rfam family "tRNA". From Rfam's summary of the family: Transfer RNA (tRNA) molecules are approximately 80 nucleotides in length. Their secondary structure includes four short double-helical elements and three loops (D, anti-codon, and T loops). Further hydrogen bonds mediate the characteristic L-shaped molecular structure. tRNAs have two regions of fundamental functional importance: the anti-codon, which is responsible for specific mRNA codon recognition, and the 3' end, to which the tRNAs corresponding amino acid is attached (by aminoacyl-tRNA synthetases). tRNAs cope with the degeneracy of the genetic code in two manners: having more than one tRNA (with a specific anti-codon) for a particular amino acid; and 'wobble' base-pairing, i.e. permitting non-standard base-pairing at the 3rd anti-codon position. The record is from Rfam by way of RNAcentral. Lineage: Eukaryota; Metazoa; Chordata; Mammalia; Carnivora; Ursidae.
ACCUGGCUGGCUGGUAGAGCUUGUGACUUUUGAUCUCAGGGUUGUGAGUUCGAGCCCCACGUUGGGUG